CGGACGGGUGAGUAACACGUGAGAAUCUGCCCUCGGGAGGGGGACAACCGCUGGAAACGGCGGCUAAUACCCCAUAAGCCCACGGGUGAAAGUUCCGGCGCCCGAGGAGGAGCUCGCGUCCGAUUAGCUAGUUGGUGGGGUAAGAGCCUACCAAGGCGACGAUCGGUAGCUGGUCUGAGAGGAUGAGCAGCCACACUGGGACUGAGACAGGGCCCAGACUCCUACGGGAGGCAGCAGUGGGGAAUUUCCCGCAAUGGGCGAAAGCCUGACGGAGCUAGACCGCGUGAGGGAAGAAGGCCCUUGGGUCGUAAACCUCUUUCCUCUGGGAAGACCCCCGACGGUACCCGAGGAAUCAGCCUCGGCUAACUCCGUGCCAGCAGCCGCGGUAAUACGGAGGAGGCAAGCGUUAUCCGGAAUUAUUGGGCGUAAAGCGUUCGCAGGUGGCUUUUCAAGUCCGCGGUUAAAGCCCGGGGCUCAACCCCGGUUCGGCCGUGGAAACUGAAAGGCUAGUGCGCGGCAGGGGUAGAGGGAAUUCCCAGUGUAGCGGUGAAAUGCGUAGAGAUUGGGAAGAACACCGGUGGCGAAAGCGCUCUACUGGGCCGACGCUGACACUCAGGGACGAAAGCUAGGGGAGCGAAAGGGAUUAGAUAGCCCUGUAGUCCUAGCCGUAAACGAUGGAUACUAGGCGUGGCUCGUCUCGACCCGAGCCGUGCCGAAGCCAACGCGUUAAGAAUCCCGCCUGGGGAGUACGCGCGCAAGCGUGAAACUCAAAGGAAUGACGGGGGCCCGCACAAGCGGUGGAGGAUGUGGUUUAAUUCGAUGCAACGCGAAGAACCUUACCAGGGCUUGACAUCCGGCGAAUCUCGCGGAAACGCGAGAGUGCCUUCGAGAACGCCGUGACAGGUGGUGCAUGGCUGUCGUCAGCUCGUGUCGUGAGAUGUUGGGUUAAGUCCCGCAACGAGCGCAACCUUCGUCCUUAGUUGCCAGCCUUAAGUGGGGAACUCUAGGGAGA
This 1012-nucleotide ribosomal RNA is filed under the name Halothece sp. EERGCy-005. Its description in RNAcentral is "bacterial SSU rRNA". It matches the Rfam family "Bacterial small subunit ribosomal RNA", at positions 99 to 1148 of the family's 1533-position model. Lineage: Bacteria; Bacillati; Cyanobacteriota; Cyanophyceae; Chroococcales; Halothecacae. The record is from RNAcentral.